AGUCGAACGAGUUCUGAUUAUUGAAAGGUGCUUGCAUCUUGAUUUUAAUUUUGAACGAGUGGCGGACGGGUGAGUAACACGUGGGUAACCUGCCCUUAAGUGGGGGAUAACAUUUGGAAACAGAUGCUAAUACCGCAUAAAUCCAAGAACCGCAUGGUUCUUGGCUGAAAGAUGGCGUAAGCUAUCGCUUUUGGAUGGACCCGCGGCGUAUUAGCUAGUUGGUGAGGUAACGGCUCACCAAGGCAAUGAUACGUAGCCGAACUGAGAGGUUGAUCGGCCACAUUGGGACUGAGACACGGCCCAAACUCCUACGGGAGGCAGCAGUAGGGAAUCUUCCACAAUGGACGCAAGUCUGAUGGAGCAACGCCGCGUGAGUGAAGAAGGCUUUCGGGUCGUAAAACUCUGUUGUUGGAGAAGAAUGGUCGGCAGAGUAACUGUUGUCGGCGUGACGGUAUCCAACCAGAAAGCCACGGCUAACUACGUGCCAGCAGCCGCGGUAAUACGUAGGUGGCAAGCGUUAUCCGGAUUUAUUGGGCGUAAAGCGAGCGCAGGCGGUUUUUUAAGUCUGAUGUGAAAGCCCUCGGCUUAACCGAGGAAGUGCAUCGGAAACUGGGAAACUUGAGUGCAGAAGAGGACAGUGGAACUCCAUGUGUAGCGGUGAAAUGCGUAGAUAUAUGGAAGAACACCAGUGGCGAAGGCGGCUGUC
This 706-nucleotide ribosomal RNA is filed under the name uncultured Bacilli bacterium. RNAcentral describes it as "bacterial SSU rRNA". It matches the Rfam family "Bacterial small subunit ribosomal RNA", at positions 60 to 729 of the family's 1533-position model. Lineage: Bacteria; Bacillati; Bacillota; Bacilli. The record is from RNAcentral.